AUUUAGAGAUGGAGUGAGUUUUGGACUUAUUUACAAGUUUGCCACUCCAAUGAAUUAAGGUAUAAAUAUGACUUUAUAGCCAAAAUUCAUUUAGGGUUUUCUUUUUGGGAAAGGAUGAGAACAUAAGCUCUCCUUUGUCUCUAAAGUGGCCGGCCUCCUUGGAGGGUUUAGCUAGCAAUCCUACUACUCCAAGGUCACUCAUUUCUUCUCCAAUCUAACCUUGGUGAAGAGACUUAGAUGUUCUCAAUUUUGGGAACUUGGAGAACCAUUUCAUCCAUCCAAAUCCAUAGAU
Molecule: long non-coding RNA, 292 nt
Filed under: Malus domestica (apple)
Lineage: Eukaryota; Viridiplantae; Streptophyta; Magnoliopsida; Rosales; Rosaceae
Description: long non-coding RNA (MDOM_LNC006825)
Source: RNAcentral